This 29-nucleotide non-coding RNA is filed under the name Homo sapiens (human). Lineage: Eukaryota; Metazoa; Chordata; Mammalia; Primates; Hominidae. The record is from RNAcentral.
UGCUCUCGUAACCGUGCCUGCUCCUCCUG